This 468-nucleotide ribosomal RNA is filed under the name uncultured bacterium. RNAcentral describes it as "partial 16S ribosomal RNA". It matches the Rfam family "Bacterial small subunit ribosomal RNA", at positions 28 to 507 of the family's 1533-position model. The record is from RNAcentral.
GACGAACGCUGGCGGCGCGCUUAACACAUGCAAGUCGAACGGAAAGGCCCUGCUUUUGUGGGGUGCUCGAGUGGCGAACGGGUGGGUAACACGUGAGUCACCUGCCCUUGACUUUGGGAAAACUUCAGGAAACUGGGGCUAAUACCGGAUAGGCGCUCCAGCUGCACGGGGGGGGUUGGAUAGUUUCGGCGGGUGGGGAUGGACUUGCGGCUUAUCAGCUUGUUGGUGGGGUAGUGGCUUACCAAGGCUUUGACGGGUAGCCGGCCUGGGAGGGUGACCGGCCACAUGGGGACUGAGAUACGGCCCAGACGCCGACGGGAGGCAGCAGUGGGGAAUGUUGCACAGUGGGCGGAAGCCUGAUGCAGCAACGCCGCGUGCGGGAUGACGGCCUUCGGGUUGUAAACCGCUUGCGCCUGGGACGAAGCGUGAGUGACGGUAAUGGGUGAAGAAGCACCGGCUAACUACGUG